RNAcentral lists this ribosomal RNA (366 nucleotides) under Triticum aestivum (bread wheat). RNAcentral describes it as "partial small subunit ribosomal RNA". Lineage: Eukaryota; Viridiplantae; Streptophyta; Magnoliopsida; Poales; Poaceae. The record is from RNAcentral.
AUGAAACUGAUACAACUCUUCAAAGAAUCAGCAUAUUGUGCAGUUGGCACUGGAGAUACCACUCUGUUUUGGACAGAAAAUGGGCAAGAUAGAGUCCUUGCCGAGCAAUACCCUGAAUUACACUCUUUUGUGAUCAAUGAUCAAUGCUCUGUGGACCAUGUAAAGCAAUCUAUUGAUCUCAUGGAGCAGUUUCACACCCCAAUUUCUGCUAUUGCCUUCGAGCAACUGAAUGAGCUAACCCCAAUAUUACAGCAACUUGGAAGCUCUGCCGACAGAUGUAUCUAUAUGUGGAGAUCUAAUAGAUUCAAAGUUAAUAAAAUGUAUAUGCAAAGGAUGGGUUUUUUGCAGGAAAAUCAUUUGUUUUGA